Molecule: non-coding RNA, 110 nt
Organism: Acanthosepion pharaonis
Lineage: Eukaryota; Metazoa; Mollusca; Cephalopoda; Sepiida; Sepiidae
Source: the annotation of a GenBank genome assembly
AUGACCAUAUUAUGUUGAAAAACAGUUCCCAUAUGAUCACUGAAGUUAAGCUACGUGAAACCUGGUCAGUACCUAGAUGGGUGACCACUUGGGAAUACCAGAAGCUGUAA